GCCGAGGUAGCUCAGUUGGUAGAGCACGGCACUGAAAAUGCCGGUGUCGCCGGUUCGAUUCCGGCCCUCGGCACCC
This 76-nucleotide transfer RNA is filed under the name Chloroflexota bacterium. RNAcentral's name for it is "Chloroflexi bacterium (sediment metagenome) tRNA-Phe". It matches the Rfam family "tRNA". From Rfam's summary of the family: Transfer RNA (tRNA) molecules are approximately 80 nucleotides in length. Their secondary structure includes four short double-helical elements and three loops (D, anti-codon, and T loops). The record is from RNAcentral. Lineage: Bacteria; Bacillati; Chloroflexota.